RNAcentral lists this ribosomal RNA (330 nucleotides) under Triticum aestivum (bread wheat). Its description in RNAcentral is "partial small subunit ribosomal RNA". The record is from RNAcentral. Lineage: Eukaryota; Viridiplantae; Streptophyta; Magnoliopsida; Poales; Poaceae.
AUGACUGAUUCGUUGGCUGCGGAAUAUGAGUCCGAUAAAACGGCCUGUGGGAUAAUGCUCAGGGUGGAACAAGAUUUUGGAGAAGUUUCCCUUGUGAAGGUGCUUAGCCUUGUGAAUAAAUUUCUGACAUCAAAGAUGGGUGAUAAAACAGUCAAUGAACACUUCAACAAGAUCUUUGUCUUGGUGGAAGAGUUAAAAAUGGUUGGUUAUCCGUUCCAGGAGGAAGUCCAAGUCAUGGUUGUCCUGAACUCUUUACCACCAUCAUGGGAACAAUUCAAGAUUUCUUUUUGUCAUUCAGAGCGCACACUCAAUAUGAGGAACCUGAGGUAA